UGCCAGACUCCUACGGGGGGCAGCAGUGGGGAAUAUUGGACAAUGGGGGGAACCCUGAUCCAGCGACGCCGCGUGAGUGAAGAAGUAUUUCGGUAUGUAAAGCUCUCUCAGCAGGGAAGAAAGAAAUGACGGUACCUGACUAAGAAGCCCCGGCUAACUACGUGCCAGCAGCCGCGGUAAUACGUAGGGGGCAAGCGUUAUCCGGAUUCACUGGGCGUAAAGGGAGCGCAGGCGGCAUGGCAAGUCUGAUGUGAAAACCCGGGGCCCAACCCCGGGAGUGCAUUGGAAACUGCCAGGCUGGAGUGUCGGAGGGGUAAGCGGAAUUCCUAGUGUAGCGGUGAAAUGUGUAGAUAUUAGGAGGAACACCAGUGGCGAAGGCGGCUUACUGGACGACUACUGACGCUGAGGCUCGAAAGCGUGGGGAGCAAACAGGAUUAGAUACCCCCGUAAA
RNAcentral lists this ribosomal RNA (451 nucleotides) under uncultured bacterium. RNAcentral's name for it is "bacterial SSU rRNA". It matches the Rfam family "Bacterial small subunit ribosomal RNA", at positions 329 to 794 of the family's 1533-position model. The record is from RNAcentral.